CCGAGUUUACAACUCCCAAACCCCUGUGAACAUACCUAUACGUUGCCUCGGCGGAUCAGCCCGCGCCCCGUAACAAGGGACGGCCCGCCCGAGGACCCCUAAACUCUGUUUUUAGUGGAACUUCUGAGUAAAACAAACAAAUAAAUCAAAACUUUCAACAACGGAUCUCUUGGUUCUGGCAUCGAUGAAGAACGCAGCAAAAUGCGAUAAGUAAUGUGAAUUGCAGAAUUCAGUGAAUCAUCGAAUCUUUGAACGCACAUUGCGCCCGCCAGUAUUCUGGCGGGCAUGCCUGUUCGAGCGUCAUUUCAACCCUCAAGCUCAGCUUGGUGUUGGGACUCGCGGUAACCCGCGUUCCCCAAAUCGAUUGGCGGUCACGUCGAGCUUCCAUAGCGUAGUAAUCAUACACCUCGUUACUGGUAAUCGUCGCGGCCACGCCGUAAAACCCCAACUUCUGAAU
Molecule: unclassified non-coding RNA, 457 nt
Filed under: uncultured Fusarium
Lineage: Eukaryota; Fungi; Ascomycota; Sordariomycetes; Hypocreales; Nectriaceae
Description: sequence contains ITS1, 5.8S rRNA gene, ITS2
Rfam family: 5.8S ribosomal RNA (bases 150-303)
Source: RNAcentral